RNAcentral lists this ribosomal RNA (109 nucleotides) under uncultured Campylobacter sp. RNAcentral's name for it is "partial 16S ribosomal RNA". It matches the Rfam family "Bacterial small subunit ribosomal RNA", at positions 1219 to 1327 of the family's 1533-position model. The record is from RNAcentral. Lineage: Bacteria; Pseudomonadati; Campylobacterota; Epsilonproteobacteria; Campylobacterales; Campylobacteraceae.
CACGUGCUACAAUGGCAUAUACAAUGAGACGCAAUACCGCGAGGUGGAGCAAAUCUAUAAAAUAUGUCUUAGUUCGGAUUGUUCUCUGCAACUCGAGAGCAUGAAGCCA